UCAACACGUUCAUGUUCUAAUUGAAUUUUACGUACAUGCACUCUACAUCAACACCCAUAGAGAGUGGUGAGAUGAAAGAUUAAAGCUAUUCCUCCCUUGCUCCUGCGGGAUAAUAAAUACGCAAGAUGAGUACCUAUAUUAAUAAAUGUCAGAUUGCCAUUUUUAAAUAUAAAGAUCAUAUUCAGUCAAAAAUCUAGAGAUUGAAUUAUUAUUACAGGACCAAAAAUAUUAUUAAGCUUUAGAGGUAACUUCGUCUUUUUAAAUAAUUUAAAAAAUAAAGUGUUUCUGUACAUAAUUUAGUAGGACCGAAAGAUACACCUUUCUGUUGUAGCUUUCUUUAUUUUGUGAUGUUUGAUCUCUUGUUCCAAGCUCUUCAAGUUCGAAUGAAGGGAAAGGGUAUAUGUAAAAGGUACUCCAACACUCAAUGACUUUGCGUGAAAAUAAUGAUAAUAUUCAAUAGAGAGUAAGUAUUCAUAAUUAAUUCAAAGUUGUUUACCUUUGCGACUUAACCAAGUUAUUUUAUGGACACUAAACUGUCAUAGGUCCACCAAAACGAUCUUACCUUUUAAUUUUCGUCGGUUACUCAUUAACAGCUUUCUUAACCUGCAAUCAGUUAUCAAUAUUUUUAAUCAUUAUGUUAUUAGUUUAUUAACUUAUUUUAUUUGUUCAAUCCAUUGACCCAAUAACAAUGUCUUAAACGCUGACCCAAUUAUGACCUAACAUAAUAUCUUGGGGGUUACUCCCUACACCUCCCCAUUUGCUGCCUCCACCUCCUCAUUUAUUUUUUACCUUUCAUUCUAUUUUUUUAUUCCUAUUCUAUCCUUUUAAUAUAAGUUUACUUUAGAUUAAAAUUUUAUAAUUUUUACUCACUAUAAUUAUUUCAUUCUUACUCGUUAGUCAUCGUGGUUCCUCUUCUCUUUGCUGUGAGAAUUUAGUGAGUGAAAGAUUAGUGAAAAAAAUUAUUUUAAGAAUUACAAAAAUUCAUCUCUCUAUUGAAGGUAGUGGUGCUCUGAAAACUUCUGGGUGAAUAAACGUCAGUAACCCUUCACAAAAAUAAACCAGUACGUAACUUAAACGGAUAUGAGUAUCCGUCUACGGAUGUCAACUUCCGUUUCGCUAUGCUAAGGUUCCUUUUAGGUCCCAACUUUUGAGUAAUGUGUACGUUGCAGAGGUUGGUUAAUGGCAGUAAAAAAAAAGAAUGAAAAUCUAAAUUUAAAAAAUUGAAUUUUGGGAUGAAGUCAAGAGGAAAAAGCUGAUCAAUGAUGCCGCAGUUGAAAGCAAAAUGCCAAAUACUACGAUUCAGAAUUUUGGAAACUGAGGUUUGACAGCUAAUUCUCUUUUUUAAUCCUUAAGAUCCUCAAUCAUUCAUCUUCCACUUUACCCAAUUACAUUUUACUAUUCAAGUUUUAAUCUUCAACAACAUUGCUUCAAAAGGGUACUUUUAAAUUCUGUAGAAUGAACUCAAAUUGUGUAUUUAUUUAAAGUAAAGUUGCUUCAACAAAGACGAAGCACUAACCGUCGCGAACCAUCCAAUGUAAACAGUGAAACACCACCGCACACAACAAUAGGGCACAACACCGCACCGCAUCACAGCAACGCACCACCACACUGCACCACAGCAACGCACCACCGCACCGCACCGGAGAGCAAAGUAAAGUUUGGAGAGUUUGGAUGAGAAGAAGAGUCAUAAAGUUGGAAGAAGAAGGGACAGAUCUAAAAUUUGGGGAGGUGUGGGCUGUGAGGCUCUGAGGAGAAUAAAAAUAAAUUAUAUAGCUUCAGGGUUUCUCC
This 1788-nucleotide long non-coding RNA is filed under the name Vigna radiata. RNAcentral describes it as "long non-coding RNA (VRAD_LNC017316)". Lineage: Eukaryota; Viridiplantae; Streptophyta; Magnoliopsida; Fabales; Fabaceae. The record is from RNAcentral.